CCUACGGGUGGCUGCAGUGAGGAAUAUUGGUCAAUGGGCGUAAGCCUGAACCAGCCAAGUCGCGUGAGGGAUGAAGGUUCUAUGGAUUGUAAACCUCUUUUAUAAGGGAAUAAAGUGCGGGACGUGUCCCGGUUUGUAUGUACCUUAUGAAUAAGGAUCGGCUAACUCCGUGCCAGCAGCCGCGGUAAUACGGAGGAUCCGAGCGUUAUCCGGAUUUAUUGGGUUUAAAGGGUGCGUAGGCGGCCUGUUAAGUCAGCGGUGAAAGUCUGUGGCUCAACCAGAGAAUUGCCGUUGAAACUGGGAGGCUUGAGUAUGUUUGAGGCAGGCGGAAUGCGUGGUGUAGCGGUGAAAUGCUUAGAUAUCACGCAGAACCCCGAUUGCGAAGGCAGCCUACCAAGCCAUGACUGACGCUGAUGCACGAAAGCGUGGGGAUCAAACAGGAUUAGAUACCCCAGUAGUC
RNAcentral lists this ribosomal RNA (460 nucleotides) under uncultured bacterium. RNAcentral describes it as "partial 16S ribosomal RNA". It matches the Rfam family "Bacterial small subunit ribosomal RNA", at positions 338 to 795 of the family's 1533-position model. The record is from RNAcentral.